Molecule: transfer RNA, 77 nt
Filed under: Clostridiales bacterium
Lineage: Bacteria; Bacillati; Bacillota; Clostridia; Eubacteriales
Description: tRNA-His
Rfam family: tRNA
About the family: Transfer RNA (tRNA) molecules are approximately 80 nucleotides in length. Their secondary structure includes four short double-helical elements and three loops (D, anti-codon, and T loops).
Source: RNAcentral
GUGGGUAUAGCUCAGUAGGUUAGAGCGCCAGGUUGUGGCCCUGGAGGUCAUGGGUUCGAGUCCCACUACUCACCCCA